RNAcentral lists this long non-coding RNA (1142 nucleotides) under Pongo abelii (Sumatran orangutan). RNAcentral's name for it is "lincRNA". Lineage: Eukaryota; Metazoa; Chordata; Mammalia; Primates; Hominidae. The record is from RNAcentral.
UGUGGAUCUAAAAAGAAUUUUCUCAUCUAAACCAGAGCUUCAGUCUCCCAGGAUCGUGAAUGUCUGAGAAUAAGCAGAUGCAGCCCUUUUCACAGAAGGGCAAGGUCCGCAGCUCCUCGGCAUCAUGGCAUUAUUUAUUCAUCAUGAGAGCCGCGAGUGAACAUGUACCCUGCAGAAAAAUCAAAUCAGUGUUCGGUUUCUCGAGCAGCUGCGUUUGGCAGAGAAAAAGCAUUUGGAUCUAACUUUGGUAACUGGACAAUUAUAGGCGUUAUUAAAUUGGAGAUGCAAAUGAGUAACUAUGUUUUCUUCCGAGUUUGUUCUAUUUCACUUGUAGUGUUUAAAUUAAAACCAGCUCAGCAUUUGUAAAAGCUGAUUCCUGAAAGCUUAGAAAAGUUCUGUGCUUGUCUAUAUACCAGUAGUUUCACUAAAAACAUUUACAUAUUAGCUAACCUCAAAGGACCAAAUCUGCAUUUAUUCAUGUUUACAGGUUUAAAUGGUCUUAGCCCUAAAGUCAUUGUGUUCUUAGAUAUCUAACACUGAAGAUUUGCUCACAAGUGGAGAUUCAGAUAGAACAAAACACACAAGCUUAGAAAUGUUAAUGUGUCUCUAUGUAUUAUAAAAAUACCUACCGAUAAUUUAAAGCCUGAGUAAUUUGUAUAUAUAUUUCCUGAUUUGUGGAAUAGACUAAUAUUACAUCAUAGUCCGAGAACUUUUUAUAAAUUGCCUAGUUUUUAAUUUCAAUUCUUCCAUUUACAAACUCUGGGACCUUGAACAAAUUAUUUUACCUCAGUCUCCUCACUAUAAAAUGGAGACAAUAACAGUGGUACCUCUUAAAUUGUUGAAGGCAUUAAACAAAUUAGUAUAUGUUAAAUAAAUUAAUAUAUAUGCUUAGGAUAAUGCCUGAUAGUAAUUGGAAUUCUGUAGAUGUGUGUGUAUAUGUAUAGAUUGAAUGUAGUUUUAUCAAACAGUAAAUUAGCAUAUCAUAAUAAUCCCUCAUUAUCUGUCUACCUUUCCCUCCAUAUUUCAGUUCAAUAAAAUUAUAGUUUUAUUCACUUUGUAGUCCACAACGCUUAUCAAUUUGUGUUGAUGCAACAUGCUAAUGUACAUUUUAUGAUAAAUAUUGUAGCUUUUAGACUGUUCAC